This 61-nucleotide microRNA precursor is filed under the name Vicugna pacos (alpaca). RNAcentral's name for it is "miRNA (ENSVPAG00000016552.1)". The record is from RNAcentral. Lineage: Eukaryota; Metazoa; Chordata; Mammalia; Artiodactyla; Camelidae.
GGGGCUGCGGAAAGGGGCUGGGCUGGGCUGGGCUGGGCUGGGCUGGCUGCAGCUCUAGUCC